AUUGAUUUUGGGAGUUUUGGUUCCAACAGUUUAGGAAUUAAGGGCCAAAAAAGGGCCCAAAUAAGCAUUAUUCUUGGUUUUUCGCACAAUAACUUUAGUAUGAGUAAAUAGAAAUCAAUGAAAUUUUAACACAAGGUUUAUGACCACAAAAGGAAGGUUGGGAUUGAUUUUUGGAGUUGAGGUCACAACAGUUUAUGAAUUAGGGGCCAAAAAGGGGC
This 218-nucleotide long non-coding RNA is filed under the name Mytilus galloprovincialis (Mediterranean mussel). Lineage: Eukaryota; Metazoa; Mollusca; Bivalvia; Mytilida; Mytilidae. The record is from RNAcentral.